CCUGCCUCUAGAAGCACUGCAGGAGAGGCUGCUGUGAGUGCAUCAGUAUGCGGCAGAGGGGAGAGCGGCUAUGUCUAGGCUCAUGUUCUGACCUAUGUAUAUCUGAAGGAUUAGUAGCCUAACAUU
Small nucleolar RNA from Apodemus sylvaticus (European woodmouse), 126 nucleotides. RefSeq annotates it as small nucleolar RNA SNORA17. The record is from RefSeq and is a predicted model, not a curated record. The transcript has a single exon. NCBI's taxonomy places the organism in Eukaryota, Metazoa, Chordata, Mammalia, Rodentia, Muridae.